GACGAACGCUGGCGGCGUGCCUAACACAUGCAAGUCGAGCGGGGUCCAUCCGGUAGCAAUACCGGGGAAGACCUAGCGGCGAACGGGUGAGUAACACGUGAGAAGCCUGCCCCGAAGUCUGGGAUAACCCGAGGAAACUCGAGCUAAUACCGGAUGUCUUCUUCUGAUCGCAUGGUCGGAUGAAGAAAGAUUUAUCGCUUCGGGAGGGUCUCGCGGCCUAUCAGCUAGUUGGCGGGGUAACGGCCCACCAAGGCGUCGACGGGUAGCUGGUCUGAGAGGACGAUCAGCCACACUGGGACUGAGACACGGCCCAGACUCCUACGGGAGGCAGCAGUGGGGAAUAUUGCGCAAUGGGCGAAGGCCUGACGCAGCAACGCCGCGUGCGGGAUGAAGGCC
Molecule: ribosomal RNA, 396 nt
Filed under: uncultured bacterium
Lineage: Bacteria
Description: bacterial SSU rRNA
Rfam family: Bacterial small subunit ribosomal RNA
Source: RNAcentral